GAUGAACGCUGGCGGCGUGCCUAAUACAUGCAAGUCGAGCGAACAGACGAGGAGCUUGCUCCUCUGACGUUAGCGGCGGACGGGUGAGUAACACGUGGAUAACCUACCUAUAAGACUGGGAUAACUUCGGGAAACCGGAGCUAAUACCGGAUAAUAUAUUGAACCGCAUGGUUCAAUAGUGAAAGACGGUUUUGCUGUCACUUAUAGAUGGAUCCGCGCCGCAUUAGCUAGUUGGUAAGGUAACGGCUUACCAAGGCAACGAUGCGUAGCCGACCUGAGAGGGUGGUAGGCCACCCUGGAACGGAGACACGGUCCAGACUCCUACGGGAGGCAGCAGUAGGGAAUCUUCCGCAAUGGGCGAAAGCCUGACGGAGCAACGCCGCGUGAGUGAUGAAGGUCUUCGGAUCGUAAAACUCUGUUAUUAGGGAAGAACAAAUGUGUAAGUAACUAUGCACGUCUUGACGGUACCUAAUCAGAAAGCCACGGCUAACUACGUG
Molecule: ribosomal RNA, 497 nt
Filed under: uncultured bacterium
Lineage: Bacteria
Description: partial 16S ribosomal RNA
Rfam family: Bacterial small subunit ribosomal RNA
Source: RNAcentral